GAAUAAGCAGCUUAGUGGCCUUAGCUUUGCAAAAGCUAAUGAGAAGAUUUACUUCCUUAUUCU
RNAcentral lists this transfer RNA (63 nucleotides) under Rhinebothrium taeniuri. RNAcentral's name for it is "tRNA-Cys". The record is from RNAcentral. Lineage: Eukaryota; Metazoa; Platyhelminthes; Cestoda; Rhinebothriidea; Rhinebothriidae.